AAGUCGUAACAAGGUAUCUGUAGGUGAACCUGCAGAUGGAUCAUUUCGAUGAAAACCUUUUUUCUUGAGGUGUGGCUCGCACCUGUCUAACUAAAAUGAGCUACCUUUUUUAACACGGUUGCAUCGGUUGGCUGUCAAACAGUGCGCGGCAAAUUUGGAUAUUCAUUUAUUCUUCGCUGCGCGCUUGGGAGACGGUCGACACUUUACCAUAAACACUGUUGAUACCAUAGGAUUUGAACGUAGAUGAACUCGACUGGUAAUGCGGUCGUCUAAAUCUAAAAACAACUUUUGGCAACGGAUCUCUUGGUUCUCC
Molecule: unclassified non-coding RNA, 313 nt
Filed under: Moesziomyces parantarcticus
Lineage: Eukaryota; Fungi; Basidiomycota; Ustilaginomycetes; Ustilaginales; Ustilaginaceae
Description: partial internal transcribed spacer region
Rfam family: Eukaryotic small subunit ribosomal RNA (bases 1-46)
Source: RNAcentral